UGAAUUAUCGUACGCGUGGGAGA
RNAcentral lists this non-coding RNA (23 nucleotides) under Drosophila melanogaster (fruit fly). The record is from RNAcentral. Lineage: Eukaryota; Metazoa; Arthropoda; Insecta; Diptera; Drosophilidae.